RNAcentral lists this ribosomal RNA (141 nucleotides) under uncultured eukaryote. RNAcentral's name for it is "partial 18S ribosomal RNA". It matches the Rfam family "Eukaryotic small subunit ribosomal RNA", at positions 1299 to 1458 of the family's 1831-position model. The record is from RNAcentral.
UGGUGGAGUGAUUUGUCUGGUUAAUUCCGUUAACGAACGAGACCUCGACCUGCUAAAUAGUUCGGUGAGCCCUUGGGCUCAUUUUGUGACUUCUUAGAGGGACUAUCGGUGGUUAGCCGAUGGAAGUUCGAGGCAAUAACA